UUGGGAAACUUCCACAGGGACCAAAAAUUAAAACACAAGCAAUAAAAUAUGCAAUCAAAUACACUGCCAACUUUGAUUGCAUAUUUUAUUGGUUGUGUUUUAAUUUUUGGUCCCUGAGGAAGUUUCCCA
Molecule: non-coding RNA, 129 nt
Organism: Pelobates cultripes (western spadefoot toad)
Lineage: Eukaryota; Metazoa; Chordata; Amphibia; Anura; Pelobatidae
Source: the annotation of a GenBank genome assembly